AUUGAACGCUGGCGGCAUGCUUUACACAUGCAAGUCGAACGGCAGCGCGGGCUUCGGCCUGGCGGCGAGUGGCGAACGGGUGGGGAAUACAUCGGAACGUGCGCAGUAGUGGGUGGGAGCACGUCAAAACCCGGGUGAUAACCCCGGACAGCCGGUGGUGGAAAGCGGGGGGGGUUGGAACGUUUCGCCGGUGGGGGGUCGGAUGGCGGAUUAGCUGUUUGGUGGGGUAAAGGCCUACUAGGGCGGCGAUCUGUAGCUGGCGUGAGAGGAGGACAAGCGACACUGGAACUGAGCCACGGCCCAGACUCCUGCGGGAGGCAGCAGUGGGGAAUUUUGGACAAUGGGCGAAAGCAUGAUACAGCAGUGCGGCGUGUGUGAUGACGGCCUUGGGGUUGUAAAGCCCUUUUGGCGGGAACGAAAAGGACUGUGCCAAUACCACGGUUCGAUGACGGUACCCGCAGAAUAAGCACCGGCUAACUACGUG
RNAcentral lists this ribosomal RNA (484 nucleotides) under uncultured bacterium. RNAcentral describes it as "partial 16S ribosomal RNA". It matches the Rfam family "Bacterial small subunit ribosomal RNA", at positions 28 to 507 of the family's 1533-position model. The record is from RNAcentral.